GCAUCAUACUGUGGACUGCGAAUGGCUCAUUAAUCAGUUAUCGUUUAUUUGAUAGUACCUUUACCUGGAUAACCGUGGUAAUUCUAGAGCUAAUACAUGCUAAAAACCCCGACUUCGGAAGGGGUGUAUUUAUUAGAUAAAAAACCAAUGCCCUCUGGGCUCCUUGGUGAUUCAUAAUAACUUAACGAAUCGCAUGGCCUUGCGCCGGCGAUGGUUCAUUCAAAUUUCUGCCCUAUCAAUUUUCGAUGGUAGAGUAGUGGUCUACCAUGAUCUUAACGGGUAACGGGGAAUUAGGGUUCUAUUCCGGAGAAGGAGCCUGAGAAACGGCUACUACAUCCAAGGAAGGCAGCAGGCGCGCAAAUUACCCAAUGCUAAUUCAGCGAGGUAGUGACAAUAAAUACUGAUACGGGGCUCUUUCGGGUCUCGUAAUUGGAAUGAGUACAAUCUAAAUCCCUUAACGAGGAACAAUUGGAGGGCAAGUCUGGUGCCAGCAGCCGCGGUAAUUCCAGCUCCAAUAGCGUAUAUUAAAGUUGUUGCCGUUAAAAAGCUCGUAGUUGAACCUUGGACCUGGCUGAUCUGUCCUCCUAAUCGAGCGCACGGAUUCGGUCGGGUCUUUCCUUCUGGGGAGCCCUAUGCCCUUCACUGGGUGUAGUGGGGAACCAGGACUUUUACCUUGAAAAAAUUAGAGUGUUCAAAGCAGGCCUUUGCUCGAAUACAUUAGCAUGGAAUAAUAGAAUAGGACAUCGGUUCUAUUUUGUUGGUUUCUAGGACCGCUGUAAUGAUUAAUAGGGAUAGUCGGGGGCGUCAGUAUUCAAUUGUCAGAGGUGAAAUUCUUGGAUUUAUUGAAGACUAACUACUGCGAAAGCAUUCGCCAAGGAUGUUUUCAUUAAUCAGUGAACGAAAGUUAGGGGAUCGAAGACGAUCAGAUACCGUCGUAGUCUUAACCAUAAACUAUGCCGACUAGGGAUCGGACGGUGGUUUUUUUAUGCCCCGUUCGGCACCUUACGAGAAAUCAAAGUUUU
This 1022-nucleotide ribosomal RNA is filed under the name Capronia americana. RNAcentral's name for it is "SSU rRNA". It matches the Rfam family "Eukaryotic small subunit ribosomal RNA", at positions 71 to 1107 of the family's 1831-position model. The record is from RNAcentral. Lineage: Eukaryota; Fungi; Ascomycota; Eurotiomycetes; Chaetothyriales; Herpotrichiellaceae.